Molecule: non-coding RNA, 32 nt
Filed under: Mus musculus (house mouse)
Lineage: Eukaryota; Metazoa; Chordata; Mammalia; Rodentia; Muridae
Source: RNAcentral
UAAAAGAUAGAACUCUUCACACGAGGUGCUGU